GGGUCAGUAGGUUGGUCGUGCCACCGGUACGUACUGGUCUCACUGAUUCCUCCUUCCUGAAGAGCCGUAAUGCCAUUAAUUUGGUGUUGCGGGGAAACAGGACUGUUACUUUGAAAAAAUUAGAGUGUUUAAAGCAAGCUAACGCUUGAAUACAUUAGCAUGGAAUAAUGAAAUAGGACGAUCGAUCCUAUUUUGUUGGUUUCUAGGAUUGACGUG
Molecule: ribosomal RNA, 216 nt
Filed under: Glomeromycotina sp.
Lineage: Eukaryota; Fungi; Glomeromycota
Description: partial small subunit ribosomal RNA
Rfam family: Eukaryotic small subunit ribosomal RNA (bases 40-216)
Source: RNAcentral